This 204-nucleotide long non-coding RNA is filed under the name Lepisosteus oculatus (spotted gar). Its description in RNAcentral is "lncRNA (ENSLOCG00000021884.1)". Lineage: Eukaryota; Metazoa; Chordata; Actinopteri; Semionotiformes; Lepisosteidae. The record is from RNAcentral.
AGCCCUUGUAACAGAAUCCGCAGCUGUCCGUCAGGACCGGAGCCCGCCUCCAGAGUGACCUUCCUCAGCGGACACGCCCCGUCCACCUGUUCCACAGGUGCGCUCGGCAAGAUGGCGGCGGGACGAGCUGCUGCUGCUCGAGGACGCCGAAAUGAGUGCCCUGUCCGUUUGGGCGUGCUCUGGAAGUUUGAAAAGUUUGUAUAA